GUUUAAGUGGAGGCUUGCGGGAGGAGGAGCGAGCUGCAAAGCGGGUACUCGAGCCGCGGGGAUGGGGUGGCAAGAGGAAUGAGGAAGUCGUGGCGAGAUGGGAAGAGCAGCGCAGAACCCUGCGUGUUUCUAAACCAAUCUGCUCUUCCAUUUAGCUCGGUUGGCAUGUGGAGAGGCUAAUACUGCUUACCGGCCCCCGCUGUGAGGACCUGGAAGAAUUACCUACGGUAACAGCGCUAUUAUCCGGUGAAGAUAAGAAGUGAUGAGAAAGACCAAAAGCUACCUUACUGUCACUUAAUUUCUUGGAAUACGGAUCUUUUGGUUAAACAAGCUAUGAUACAGCUUUUAAGUAGCACUAAAUGAAUGAGUCACUUUUUUCCUGGGAUCUUGGAUGACUGAAGUUACAGAUCAAAUAUGACUGCUCCCUGUUUAAACCAAAGGUCACUGCUGUAAGAGCUUUAGAAGGAACCUCAGAGUCCCAGAGUCAAAGGGUAAACACGAGCAGAUGAAAACCCAAGAUACUAGGAGAGAACAAGAUUCCCUGAGACUCUGGUGUGUAGCUGAAGAUGUUGUGACGUGUGUCCCACUCUGCAGCCUGGUAAAGGGGCGAGGAAUCCCAGGAAUUGGUACUAAAAAGAAAGAAGACUGAGGCCUAUGGAAAGGAUUCUUGGGAAGCUGUUUGUUGCCUGAGAAAGGACUCUAAGGUGGGAGAGAGUGACCCAUGUUCCUAGAAGACAAAGCACUCCAUUAAAAAAAAAAAAAAAAAAAAAAAA
Molecule: long non-coding RNA, 773 nt
Organism: Mustela lutreola (European mink)
Lineage: Eukaryota; Metazoa; Chordata; Mammalia; Carnivora; Mustelidae
Exons: 2
Source: RefSeq, a predicted model, not a curated record